This 490-nucleotide ribosomal RNA is filed under the name uncultured bacterium. Its description in RNAcentral is "partial 16S ribosomal RNA". It matches the Rfam family "Bacterial small subunit ribosomal RNA", at positions 30 to 507 of the family's 1533-position model. The record is from RNAcentral.
AGUGAACGCUGGCGGUAGGCCUAACACAUGCAAGUCGAACGGCAGCACAGUAAGAGCUUGCUCUUACGGGUGGCGAGUGGCGGACGGGUGAGGAAUACAUCGGAAUCUACUUUUUCGUGGGGGAUAACGUAGGGAAACUUACGCUAAUACCGCAUACGACCUACGGGUGAAAGCAGGGGAUCUUCGGACCUUGCGCGAUUGAAUGAGCCGAUGCCGGAUUAGCUAGUUGGCGGGGUAAAGGCCCACCAAGGAGACGAUCCGUAGCUGGUCUGAGAGGAUGCAGAGACACUCGGACAGUGACACGCUCCAGAGUCCUACGGGGGGGGGAAGAGUGGAAUAUUGGGGAAUAGGCGCGAGACUGUGACAGAGAUACCGCGCGGGGGAAGAGAGGGCUCGGGGGUUGAAGCGCUUUUGUGUGGAGAGAAAAGAGGCGGGGUUUAAUCCCGCUGUGUUGACGGUACCCAAAGAGAAAGCGCCGGCUAACUUCGUG